Molecule: ribosomal RNA, 439 nt
Filed under: uncultured bacterium
Lineage: Bacteria
Description: partial 16S ribosomal RNA
Rfam family: Bacterial small subunit ribosomal RNA
Source: RNAcentral
CCUACGGGAGGCAGCAGUGGGGGAUAUUGCACAAUGGGGGAAACCCUGAUGCAGCGACGCCGCGUGAGUGAAGAAGUAUUUCGGUAUGUAAAGCUCUAUCAGCAGGGAAGAAAAUGACAGUACCUGACCAAGAAGCCCCGGCUAACUACGUGCCAGCAGCCGCGGUAAUACGUAGGGGGCAAGCGUUAUCCGGAUUUACUGGGUGUAAAGGGAGCGUAGACGGUUAUGUAAGUCUGGAGUGAAAGCCCGGGGCUCAACCCCGGCGAGCCGUUGAAACUGGCUGUCUUGAGAUGUCGAGAGGUAUGCGGAAUGCGCAGUGUAGCGGUGAAAUGCUUAGAUAUUGCGCAGAACUCCGAUUGCGAAGGCAGCAUACCGGCGGCGAUCUGACGCUGAGGCACGAAAGCGUGGGUAUCGAACAGGAUUAGAUACCCCAGUAGUC